This 211-nucleotide ribosomal RNA is filed under the name uncultured bacterium. Its description in RNAcentral is "partial 16S ribosomal RNA". It matches the Rfam family "Bacterial small subunit ribosomal RNA", at positions 1283 to 1500 of the family's 1533-position model. The record is from RNAcentral.
UCGUCUCAGUUCGGAUUGGAGCUGCAACUCGACUCCAUGAAGCUGGAUUCGCUAGUAAUCGCGCAUCAGCCAUGGCGCGGUGAAUACGUUCCCGGGCCUUGUACACACCGCCCGUCAAGCCAUGGAAGUCGGGGGGUGCCUGAAGUGCGUGACCGCAAGGAGCGCCCUAAGGUAAAAACCGGUGACUGGGGCUAAGUCGUAACAAGGUACC